RNAcentral lists this ribosomal RNA (506 nucleotides) under uncultured bacterium. RNAcentral describes it as "partial 16S ribosomal RNA". It matches the Rfam family "Bacterial small subunit ribosomal RNA", at positions 29 to 523 of the family's 1533-position model. The record is from RNAcentral.
AGUGAACGCUGGCGGUAGGCCUAACACAUGCAAGUCGAACGGCAGCACAGGAGAGCUUGCUCUCUGGGUGGCGAGUGGCGGACGGGUGAGGAAUACAUCGGAAUCUACUUUUUCGUGGGGGAUAACGUAGGGAAACUUACGCUAAUACCGCAUACGACCUACGGGUGAAAGCAGGGGAUCUUCGGACCUCGCGCGAUUGAAUGAGCCGAUGUCGGAUUAGCUAGUUGGCGGGGUAAAGGCCCACCAAGGCGACGAUCCGUAGCUGGUAUGAGGGGAUGAUCAGCGACACUGGAACUGAGACACGGUCCAGACUCCUACGGGAGGCAGCAGUGGGGAAUAUUGGACAAUGGGCGCAAGCCUGAUCCAGCCAUACCGCGUGGGUGAAGAAGGCCUUCGGGUUGUAAAGCCCUUUUGUUGGGAAAGAAAUCCAGCUGGUUAAUACCCGGUUGGGAUGACGGUACCCAAAGAAUAAGCACCGGCUAACUUCGUGCCAGCCGCCGCCGUAA